GAUGGAGAACGCAGCGAAAUGCGAUAAGUAAUGUGAAUUGCAGAAUUCAGUGAAUCAUCGAAUCUUUGAACGCACAUUGCGCCCUUUGGCAUUCCGAAGGGCACACCUGUCCGAGCGCCGUCGCACAACUGAGGCGCAGCCUUGCGUUGGCGGGCGACUUGUGAGUAGCGAGUCGCCGCCCAAACGAGACGGCGCCGCGCCGCGGCCGACGAAGCACGAAAGCGGAAGUCGACGCGGAGGCGGUUGCCUGUAGGAAGACACAGCUUGGCCUCGGAUCAGGUGGGGAUACCCGCUGAACUUAAGCAUAUCAAUAAGCGGAGGA
This 322-nucleotide unclassified non-coding RNA is filed under the name soil metagenome. RNAcentral's name for it is "partial contains 5.8S ribosomal RNA, internal transcribed spacer 2, and large subunit ribosomal RNA". The stretch from base 1 to 120 matches the Rfam family "5.8S ribosomal RNA", at positions 35 to 154 of the family's 154-position model. The record is from RNAcentral.